Molecule: ribosomal RNA, 669 nt
Organism: Clostridium colicanis DSM 13634
Lineage: Bacteria; Bacillati; Bacillota; Clostridia; Eubacteriales; Clostridiaceae
Rfam family: Bacterial small subunit ribosomal RNA
Source: Rfam
UAAGUAUUCCGCCUGGGGAGUACGGUCGCAAGAUUAAAACUCAAAGGAAUUGACGGGGACCCGCACAAGCAGCGGAGCAUGUGGUUUAAUUCGAAGCAACGCGAAGAACCUUACCUAGACUUGACAUCUCCUGAAUUACUCGUAAUGGAGGAAGCCCUUCGGGGCAGGAAGACAGGUGGUGCAUGGUUGUCGUCAGCUCGUGUCGUGAGAUGUUGGGUUAAGUCCCGCAACGAGCGCAACCCUUAUCGUUAGUUGCUACCAUUAAGUUGAGCACUCUAACGAGACUGCCGCGGUUAACGUGGAGGAAGGUGGGGAUGACGUCAAAUCAUCAUGCCCCUUAUGUCUAGGGCUACACACGUGCUACAAUGGCCGGUACAACGAGAUGCAAACCCGUGAGGGGGAGCCAAACUUCAAAGCCGGUCCCAGUUCGGAUUGUAGGCUGAAACUCGCCUACAUGAAGUCGGAGUUGCUAGUAAUCGCGAAUCAGCAUGUCGCGGUGAAUACGUUCCCGGGUCUUGUACACACCGCCCGUCACACCAUGAGAGCCGGUAACACCCGAAGUCCGUGAGGUAACCUUUAUGGAGCCAGCGGCCGAAGGUGGGAUUGGUGAUUGGGGUGAAGUCGUAACAAGGUAGCCGUAGGAGAACCUGCGGCUGGAUCACCUCCUUU